RNAcentral lists this ribosomal RNA (496 nucleotides) under uncultured bacterium. RNAcentral's name for it is "partial 16S ribosomal RNA". It matches the Rfam family "Bacterial small subunit ribosomal RNA", at positions 28 to 507 of the family's 1533-position model. The record is from RNAcentral.
GACGAACGCUGGCGGCGUGCUUAACACAUGCAAGUCGAACGGAAAGACCCUGAUUUUGCUUUUUUCUCGUUUGGCGAACGGGUGUGUAACACGUGAGUAACCUGCCCUUUACUUUGUGAUAACUCUUGGAAACUGGGGCUAAUACCGGAUAAAUACUCUUGCUCCCAUGUGGGGGUUGGAAAAUUUGGUCGGUUUGUGAUUGACUCACGGAUUCGCGCUUUAUUAGUUAGUUGGUGAGGUAACGGCUUAUCGAGGCAACGAUGCACAGCCGAGCUGACAGGGUGAUAGGCCACACUGGAACUGAGACACGGUCAAGACUCCUACGAGAGGCAGCAGUAGGGAAUCUUCCGCAAUGGGCGAAAGCCUGACGGAGCAACGCCGAGUGAGUGAUGAAGGUCUUCGGAUCGUAAUACUCUGUUAUUAGGGAAGAACAUAUGUGUAAGUAACUGUGCACAUCUUGACGGUAACUAAUCAGAAAGCAACGGCUAACUACGUG